RNAcentral lists this ribosomal RNA (412 nucleotides) under uncultured microorganism. RNAcentral's name for it is "bacterial SSU rRNA". It matches the Rfam family "Archaeal small subunit ribosomal RNA", at positions 459 to 872 of the family's 1478-position model. The record is from RNAcentral.
CAGCAGCCGCGGUAAUACCAGCCCCGCGAGUGGUCGGGACGGUUAUUGGGCCUAAAGCGCCCGUAGCCGGCCCGGCAAGUCCCUCCUUAAAGCCUCGGGCCCAACCCGAGGACGGGGGGGAUACUGCCGGGCUAGGGGGCGGGAGAGGCCGGCGGUACUCCCGGGGUAGGGGCGAAAUCCGUUAAUCCCGGGAGGACCACCAGUGGCGAAGGCGGCCGGCUGGAACGCGCCCGACGGUGAGGGGCGAAAGCCGGGGGAGCGAACCGGAUUAGAUACCCGGGUAGUCCCGGCUGUAAACGAUGCGGGCUAGCUGUUGGGCGGGCUUAGAGCCCGCCCAGUGGCGCAGGGAAGCCGUUAAGUCCGCCGCCUGGGGAGUACGGCCGCAAGGCUGAAACUUAAAGGAAUUGGCGGG